CACCCCGGGUCUAUUAAUGUUUGGCAGCUUUUUCUUCUUCUUAUCCUCUUCUUAUUCCCAGCCCAGCUGUUUUGCACACUCCCUAUAACGAUUCCACCCAGAGAAUCAGCAGCACGACAGUAGCAAGAUGCACGCUCUGCGUGUCUCACAGCCCACGGUUAGAAUGCGGGGUGUAGCGUGGAGAGGGAAGCGGGAUCCCGGCGCGGAGCCUCUGGAGGAGAACCUACUGCACGGCUGUCGUAAAAAGAGCAAAGACGGAGAAGCAGAAGAAGGCAAGAGGAAAGAGGGAGAGAUGGGAUUCCGUUCGCAGUCAGGCGCAAUAAAAGAAUAUGACGGCAAUAAAAGUUUAUAGCGUAUAAAUUUCUGAAGGUUAAGAACUAAAUGGCUGUAAAACAAACACGCCGUGAGGAAUAAAGGAGGGAGACGAAAAGCAUCGAAGAUAAAAAGAAGCAGAGGAAAGUUUCUGUUUUCCGCUGCGCUUUGCAGCACAUACCGGUUGGCACAGACGCACAGGACAGUCACUGAGAGGGAUUAGAGGAAUAAAGAGAGCCCUGCAGGACUGGAAGCCGCGGAUGUUCAGGAAAUGGAGCCAAAUAUGAAUGCGUGACAAGAGAGGAAAGAGUGAGCUAUAUAACUGCAGCUGAAGACAAGGAGAAGCAUCCUCCCUUUGCUUCCUCCUUCCCUCAGCUUCGGCUAACAGCAGGCGCCAUUAACUUCCACAUCCAAACACAUGAGUUGAAAGGAAGCUGCACAUUCAGAUCCGAUCCAAAGCAGGACAGUGAGACAUUGCGGCUCCCACUGAAAUAUAAGAACAACACAGAGUGCCACAUUUAUAAGUUGUGGUGGUUCUAGAUGAAAUUUACCAGGGGGCAGAAUGGAGGGGCAUUGCACAAAAGAAUAA
Cyprinodon tularosa is the source of this 901-nucleotide long non-coding RNA. RefSeq lists it as uncharacterized. The record is from RefSeq and is a predicted model, not a curated record. The transcript is spliced from 2 exons. Lineage: Eukaryota; Metazoa; Chordata; Actinopteri; Cyprinodontiformes; Cyprinodontidae.